RNAcentral lists this long non-coding RNA (2204 nucleotides) under Canis lupus familiaris (dog). RNAcentral describes it as "lncRNA (ENSCAFG00845010159.1)". The record is from RNAcentral. Lineage: Eukaryota; Metazoa; Chordata; Mammalia; Carnivora; Canidae.
UUUAUUUAUUUAUGAUAGUCACAGAGAGAGAGAGAGGCAGAGACACAGGCAGAGGGAGAAGCAGGCUCCAUGCACUGGGAGCCCGAUGUGGGAUUCGAUCCCGGGUCUCCAGGAUCGUGCCCUGGGCCAAGGGCAAGCGCCAAACUGCUGCGCCACCCAGGGAUCCCCAAGUUCUUUGAUUCUUCUUAAAUAAUAUAUACACAAACACCUUUCUACUAGAUAUUAGCAUUGGUAGAAAGUUGCAUCAAGGAAGGAAUUUUGAAACAGGCUACUAGUAGUAUGUUGGGAUCUACAAUCCCUGAUUAAUUACCACUGUCAACAAGGAUACAAGUGAUGUAUCCUUAAGAUCGGGGGGGGGGGGGAAUUGGAUAUAAAUUUCUUCUACAUCAGGUAUCUACAAAAAAUUGAGAAUCUACCAUCCAAAAGACUAAAAAAACAAAACAAAAAUAUAAAACACUCCCCUAUUUUAGAAACUUUUUAUCAUCCCUGACUUCAGGAAUGAAGAAACUGAAGCUAAACAAGUUUCAGUAACUUAUGUUAAGUCUCAAGGAGAUUCAAUGACACAGUGCAGAUCAGCAAUCAAUGAAAUUUUUGUAUGACAUUAGGCAGCAGAGCUUAAGGUACACAUUUAAGUAGAGUAUAUAUUUAUUUUUCUGAAGCAUGUUAACUCUGUCUAAUUUCCCAGACAAUUCAGGCAAAGGGAGGGACAUUAAUCUGAAUCACCUUUGAAAUUCAUCCCAAAGUUGAGAUUAUUUCGUGAAUGACCUAGAUAGCUGUAGCUAUGGUCCACUAUGAUCCUACGCAUAACUUUACAUGGAGACUUCUAAUGACAGCUGAAAAUCGUUUAGUUGGUAGCUUACACAUGGAAAUAAGAGUUUCAAAAUUAUACUCUGGUCUGAAUAUAAACAACUCCAAAUUACCAACACAAGCUUUGCCCAAAAUAAAUGGUCACAAUAAGUCUAUCCAUUAAGGGCAUUGACACAAGUCCCAUGGACUAUGAGUAUCCCUAGAUACUCCAAGGAAGGGGUGGGGAUGGUGUCACCAGGCUGCAGGCCUAGAAAUUAAAGAGGUCCAAGUCCAGACCAGACCAGACUGGGGAAGGAGUAUAUGGGUAGGUCUCUUUACCUCUGCUCAGACCUCAGGCAGUUCCCAAGAUAUCUUGUGUGACUACAAGCAACUAUAGUAGUAAAGGCAUUGAAGAGUAGCCCUCUAUUCUAUGGAAAAUUUGCUCCUACCUUUGGUAGUGCUUGGAGGGAAGGGGGAUUUCACUUUCUUCGUCCUGUUCCCUCACUAAGACAUUGUUCUGGUUUAACCAAGCUCACUCGUUUGGAGAAAGACAGAUGCCUCUUUGUUAUAUUCAGGGGAAAUCCACAUUAGAUUUAGCAUGGAGGCCCAUUUUUACUAAUUAUGUCACCAUGUAAUUCUGUGCAUAUGUACAGGCCUCAGAAAAUAUGAAUUUGUAACUGUGUUUUUGCCCUAUUGUAUACACAUUUUUUGUUCUUUAAUUCAGAUUAUUUGUUCUAAAGACAUACUGAAUGCUAGAGAUGCAAGAGCUCUAGAGAUGAUCUAUUUAGACUCUUUAGAUCCUUGAGACCCUUUUGACCCUUAGUUCCUUUGACAAAACAAAAAAAGACACCCUGACAGUUCUAAGAAAGCAGCCAAAGCAGAAAUGCAAUCCAGAGCUCCCAACUCCCAAUCCAACCUUCUUUGAUUCUCUUAUGGAAGAAAUAAAGUUCUUCCUUCUCUUCUGUGGCUCUAUUUCCAAUCACCCAUCAUGGGAGACAUAUCACUUCCUAGAAUCCAGAAUGUAUCUCACUGUAAAUAAACAGUUUAAUAAAUAGCAAUUGGUAAAGGUAAAAUCAUACCAUACUUCAUGUAUGCUAUGGUAUCUUGCAGAUUUACUAGGAAACCUAAUUAUUACUAUUGCUAUUGCUAUGGAAAAAAAUUAUUUAGGGUUCCAAAUAAUCAACUUUCAUAUGCAAUUUUGGAAUAAAGACAGUUCACAAAUAGCCUAAGACUAUGAGCCCUAUAGUAUAGUUCUUGGAAAUACUUGCAUCAUCUUCAUGGAUUUACAGGCAAAUUUUUCUCCCAAAUAUAUAUCCUCCUAUAUAUCCUCCUAUAUAUCAUAUAUAUCAUAAAGGUUCAAGGAGAAAAGACUUUUCCACACACUUAUCUCCCUGUCUACUGAAGACACUGUCCCAUGA